Molecule: ribosomal RNA, 433 nt
Filed under: uncultured bacterium
Lineage: Bacteria
Description: partial 16S ribosomal RNA
Rfam family: Bacterial small subunit ribosomal RNA
Source: RNAcentral
AGCGAACGCUGGCGGCAGGCCUAACACAUGCAAGUUGAACGAACUCUUCGGAGUUAGUGGCGGACGGGUGAGUAACACGUGGGAACGUGCCUUUUGGUUCGGAAUAACUCAGGGAAACUUGUGCUAAUACCGAAUGUGCCCUUCGGGGGAAAGAUUUAUCGCCAUUAGAGCGGCCCGCGUCUGAUUAGCUAGUUGGUGAGGUAACGGCUCACCAAGGCGACGAUCAGUAGCUGGUCUGAGAGGAUGACCAGCCACACUGGGACUGAGACACGGCCCAGACUCCUACGGGAGGCAGCAGUGGGGGAUCUUGCGCAAUGGGCGGAAGCCUGACGCAGCCAUGCCGCGUGAAUGAUGAAGGUCUUAGGGUUGUAAAAUUCUUUCACCGGGGACGAUAAUGACGGUACCCGGAGAAGAAGCCCCGGCUAACUUCGUG